UACAGAGGUCCCAAGCGUUGUUCGGAUUCACUGGGCGUAAAGGGUGCGUAGGCGGUCGGGUAAGUCUGAUGUGAAAUCUCACAGCUUAACUGUGAAACUGCAUUGGAUACUAUCCGGCUCGAGGAAUGGAGGGGAGACUGGAAUACUUGGUGUAGCAGUGAAAUGCGUAGUUAUCAAGUGGAACACCAGUGGCGAAGGCGAGUCUCUGGACAUUUCCUGACGCUGAGGCACGAAAGCCAGGGGAGCAAACGGG
RNAcentral lists this ribosomal RNA (253 nucleotides) under uncultured bacterium. RNAcentral's name for it is "partial 16S ribosomal RNA". It matches the Rfam family "Bacterial small subunit ribosomal RNA", at positions 524 to 776 of the family's 1533-position model. The record is from RNAcentral.